CCGGCGCCCCGCUGUUCCCUGCAUCGAGCGCAAGUCCUCCACUUCAACCUGAGGGCACAACACCUCCACCCCUGCUCCUCCCCUCCGGCGUGAGGCCGCCGCUCUGUCCCUGCGUCGACAGGGGAUGGAUCCGCGCCAAAGCAGCUGUUGGUGGCGCGAGAGGUGGGGGUCAGCGGCAGGCCCUGGUCGGCGUCAGUAGCCAGACCGGCAGGGAUAGGAGGUCCCCCCGUUCAUCCUUCUCUAGCAGCUUGCUAUUGGGGAAUUGAAAUUAGAUCGAAGAUGGCCUUACCUUCUUUUUUUCCUGAUAAUACUUUCUCAUGCUAUUCUCUCCAUUUUGAUCUCCGGGGAUUAUAUCAUCUUCCGUCCGGAGGUCUUUUCUGUGUGCUUCAAUUUUGACACUAGAUUCUUCUGUGGUUCUUGCAGGCUACUUGUGGAUGGCACUGCUGCCUGUCUUCAAUUUGUUAGAUAGACAGUAGAAUUGCAGGGCAGCAUCGUCUUCAACGCAGGAAAAGUGGUGGUUGGCAGACAGAUAUGUUGGUCUCUCUCCACCGUGGUAGAUGAGAAUGGCCUGGGAUUUGCUGAUCUCUCUCAAGUGCUGCAGGAACCUAAGUAUCUACAAGGAGGAGCAAUGCCCUGAAGAAGCUCAUGCUGUUGCUAGGCCAAGGAAGAAGCUUAAGGAGCUGCAUUCCUUCACAUUUAGCUACGAUGUAAUGGUUAACAAUCCAGAGUAUAGCUUCAUUGUGAUCUAAUGUUUAAGCAAUAUUAAGAAUUCAGAGUUAUUGUGGUUAUCGCUGUAGCAGCAGCCGCAACCCGCUUUUGACGAGGUGACUGUAAAUUGUGGUUAGCGCUUCUUCCAUCUAUUGCUGAACUUGCUUGGUGCGAUGCUGUAAACAUUGGUUCAAUGAAGUCUGAAGAGGCGUUUGUCUAA
Molecule: long non-coding RNA, 928 nt
Organism: Lolium rigidum
Lineage: Eukaryota; Viridiplantae; Streptophyta; Magnoliopsida; Poales; Poaceae
Exons: 2
Source: RefSeq, a predicted model, not a curated record